UAGGGAAUAUUGGACAAUGGGGGCAACCCUGAUCCAGCCAUGCCGCGUGAGUGAAGAAGGCCCUCGGGUUGUAAAGCUCUUUUGUCCGGAAAGAAAAGCAUUCGGUGAAUACCCGGAUGUUCUGACGGUACCGGAAGAAUAAGCACCGGCUAACUUCGUGCCAGCAGCCGCGGUAAUACGAAGGGUGCAAGCGUUACUCGGAAUUACUGGGCGUAAAGCGUGCGUAGGUGGUUGUGUAAGUCGGAUGUGAAAGCCCUGGGCUCAACCUGGGAAUGGCAUUUGAAACUGGGCAGCUAGAGUGCGGUAGAGGGUAGUGGAAUUCCCGGUGUAGCAGUGAAAUGCGUAGAGAUCGGGAGGAACAUCUGUGGCGAAGGCGACUGCCUGGACCAGCACUGACACUGAGGCACGAAAGCGUGGGGAGCAAACA
RNAcentral lists this ribosomal RNA (427 nucleotides) under uncultured bacterium. Its description in RNAcentral is "bacterial SSU rRNA". It matches the Rfam family "Bacterial small subunit ribosomal RNA", at positions 355 to 774 of the family's 1533-position model. The record is from RNAcentral.